CCUACGGGUGGCUGCAGUGGGGAAUAUUGCACAAUGGGGGAAACCCUGAUGCAGCGACGCCGCGUGAGUGAAGAAGUAUCUCGGUAUGUAAAGCUCUAUCAGCAGGGAAGAAAAUGACGGUAACUGACUAAGCAGCCUCGGCUAACUACGUGUCAGCAGCAGCGGUAAUACGUAGGGGGCAAGCGUUAUCCGGAUUUACUGGGUGUAAAGGGAGCGGAGACGGGGCUGCAAGUCCGGUGGGAAAGCCCAUGGCUUAACCAUGGUACUGCUCUGGAAACUGUGGAGCUUGAGUGCGGAAGGGGCAGGCGGAAUUCCUAGUGUAGCGGUGAAAUGCGUAGAUAUUAGGAGGAACACCGGCGGCGAAGGCGGCCUGCUGGACCGUAACUGACGUUGAGGCUCGAAAGCGUGGGGAGCAAACAGGAUUAGAUACCCUUGUAGUC
This 440-nucleotide ribosomal RNA is filed under the name uncultured bacterium. RNAcentral's name for it is "partial 16S ribosomal RNA". It matches the Rfam family "Bacterial small subunit ribosomal RNA", at positions 338 to 795 of the family's 1533-position model. The record is from RNAcentral.